This 925-nucleotide ribosomal RNA is filed under the name uncultured fungus. Its description in RNAcentral is "eukaryotic LSU rRNA". The stretch from base 277 to 925 matches the Rfam family "Eukaryotic large subunit ribosomal RNA", at positions 1 to 664 of the family's 3401-position model. Lineage: Eukaryota; Fungi. The record is from RNAcentral.
AUCGAUGAAGAACGCAGCGAAAUGCGAUAAGUAAUGUGAAUUGCAGAAUUCAGUGAAUCAUCGAAUCUUUGAACGCACAUUGCGCCCUCUGGUAUUCCGGGGGGCAUGCCUGUUCGAGCGUCAUUACAACCCUCAAGCUCAGCUUGGUAUUGGGCUCGCCCUUCAUGGGCCUGCCUCAAAAUCAGUGGCGGCUCCGUCCAGUCUCAAGCGCAGUAAUACUCGUCGCUUGUUAGGCUUUGGUCGAUGGCCUGCUAACAACCCCCAAUUUUACAAGGUUGACCUCGGAUCAGGUAGGGAUACCCGCUGAACUUAAGCAUAUCAAUAAGCGGAGGAAAAGAAACCAACAGGGAUUGCCUCAGUAACGGCGAGUGAAGCGGCAACAGCUCAAAUUUGAAAGCUGGUACUUUUAGUGCCCGCGUUGUAAUUUGUAGAGGAUGUUUCGGGUGCGGUGCCGGUCUAAGUUCUUUGGAACAAGACGUCAUAGAGGGUGAGAAUCCCGUAUGUGACUGGUUGCCUGUGCCCAUGUGAAACUCCUUCGACGAGUCGAGUAGUUUGGGAAUGCUGCUCAAAAUGGGAGGUGUAUUUCUUCUAAAGCUAAAUAUUGGCCAGAGACCGAUAGCGCACAAGUAGAGUGAUCGAAAGAUGAAAAGCACUUUGGAAAGAGAGUUAAACAGUACGUGAAAUUGUUGAAAGGGAAGCGCUUGCAAUCAGACUUGCGCGGCGUCGAUCAGCCUGGGUUCUCCCUGGUGUACUCGGCGUCGCUCAGGCCAGCAUCAGUUUCGACGGUGGGAUAAAGGCUUAGGGAACGUGGGUUGCUUCGGUGACCGUUAUAGCCCUAGGUGCAAUGCCGCCUGUCGGGACUGAGGACCGCGCUUCGGCUAGGAUGCUGGCGUAAUGGUUGUAAGCGACCCGUCUUGAAACACGG